CAGCCGCCACGGUAAUACGAAGGGGGCUAGCGUUGUUCGGAUUUACUGGGCGUAAAGCGCACGUAGGCGGACUUUUAAGUCAGGGGUGAAAUCCCGGGGCUCAACCCCGGAACUGCCUUUGAUACUGGAAGUCUUGAGUAUGGUAGAGGUGAGUGGAAUUCCGAGUGUAGAGGUGAAAUUCGUAGAUAUUCGGAGGAGCACCAGUGGCGAAGGCGGCUCACUGGACCAUUACUGACGCUGAGGUGCGAAAGCGUGGGGAGCAAACAGGAUUAGAUACCCCCGUAGUCCCUGUCUCUUAUAC
This 301-nucleotide ribosomal RNA is filed under the name uncultured bacterium. RNAcentral's name for it is "partial 16S ribosomal RNA". It matches the Rfam family "Bacterial small subunit ribosomal RNA", at positions 509 to 807 of the family's 1533-position model. The record is from RNAcentral.